RNAcentral lists this long non-coding RNA (294 nucleotides) under Gossypium barbadense (sea-island cotton). Its description in RNAcentral is "long non-coding RNA (GBAR_LNC019254)". The record is from RNAcentral. Lineage: Eukaryota; Viridiplantae; Streptophyta; Magnoliopsida; Malvales; Malvaceae.
UUGGAUUAGGGUUGGCCCAAGUUUUAUUGGGUUUGAAAUUGUAUUUAGUUUGGGCCCCGGGCAAUAAUUGGGUAUUACAGCUGCCCCUUUUUGCUCGUUGUCAUGUAAUGAGAACAUAGCAAAAACUCUAAAAAUAACCAAUUUUGCCUGGUCAUGCUGGACUUUGGAGCGCUUCUUACUCAAUGUAGCCACAUUCCAACCUAUUGCAUUUUCAGAGGUAUAGGAACUAAUGCUUCGAUCGACUCUACUGCAACGUCAGGGAAAUAGGAUUUGUACCUUGCAGCUUCUCAAAAG